GGCCAGACUCCUACGGGAGGCAGCAGUGGGGGAUAUUGCACAAUGGGGGGAACCCUGAUGCAGCGACGCCGCGUGGGUGAAGGAGUGCUUCGGCAUGUAAAGCCCUAUCGGCAGGGAAGAAGCAAGACGGUACCUGACUAAGAAGCCCCGACUAACUACGUGCCAGCAGCCGCGGUAAUACGUAGGGGGCGAGCGUUAUCCGGAUUCACUGGGUGUAAAGGGAGCGUAGACGGCCAAGCAAGCCAGGGGUGAAAGCCCGGGGCCCAACCCCGUCGAGCCGUUGAAACUGGCAGACUUGAGUUGGCGAGAAGUACGCGGAAUGCGCGGUGUAGCGGUGAAAUGCAUAGAUAUCGCGCAGAACUCCGAUUGCGAAGGCAGCAUGCCGGCUCCACACUGACGCUGAGGCACGAAAGCGUGGGUAUCGAACAGGAUUAGAUACCCGAGUA
This 446-nucleotide ribosomal RNA is filed under the name uncultured bacterium. RNAcentral's name for it is "bacterial SSU rRNA". It matches the Rfam family "Bacterial small subunit ribosomal RNA", at positions 329 to 792 of the family's 1533-position model. The record is from RNAcentral.